GAUGAACGCUAGCGACAGGCUUAACACAUGCAAGUCGCGGGGCAGCAUGGGGGUUGCUUGCAAUCCCCGAUGGCGACCGGCGCACGGGUGAGUAACGCGUAUCCAACCUGCCCUUCACCACGGGAUAACCCGGCGAAAGGCGGACUAAAAACGGAUGUUGUCAAUUGACGGCAUCCGAAUCGGAGGAAAGGGUGGGCGGGGAAGGGAGGGGAUGGGUGCGAUUAGGUGGGCGGGGGGGUGACGGGGCACCGUGGGGAGGAGGGGUAGGGGUUCGGAGGGGAAGGUCCCCCACACUGGAGCUGAGACACGGUCCAGACUCCUGCGGGAGGCAGCAGUGAGGAAUAUUAGUCAAUGGGCGUAAGCCUGAACCAGCCAAGUAGCGUGCAGGAUGACCGCCCUAUGGGUUGUAAACUGCUUUUAUGCGGGGAUAAAGUGGCCCACGUGUGGGUUUUUGCAGGUACCGCAUGAAUAAGGACCGGCUAAUUCCGUG
Molecule: ribosomal RNA, 490 nt
Filed under: uncultured bacterium
Lineage: Bacteria
Description: partial 16S ribosomal RNA
Rfam family: Bacterial small subunit ribosomal RNA
Source: RNAcentral